CGCGGCCUAUCAGCUUGUUGGUGAGGUAAUGGCUCACCAAGGCUUCGACGGGUAGCCGGCCUGAGAGGGCGACCGGCCACACUGGGACUGAGAUACGGCCCAGACUCCUACGGGAGGCAGCAGUGGGGAAUAUUGCACAAUGGGCGCAAGCCUGAUGCAGCAACGCCGCGUGCGGGAUGACGGCCUUCGGGUUGUAAACCGCUUUCAGUAGGGACGAAGCUAACGUGACGGUACCUACAGAAGGAGGACCGGCUAACUACGUGCCAGCAGCCGCGGUGAUACGUAGGGUCCGAGCGUUGUCCGGAAUUAUUGGGCGUAAAGGGCUUGUAGGCGGUCCGUCGCGUCAGGAGUGAAAACUCGGGGCUUAACCCCGAGCCUGCUUUUGAUACGGGCGGACUAGAGGGAUGCAGGGGAGAACGGAAUUCCUGGUGGAGCGGUGGAAUGCGCAGAUAUCAGGAGGAACACCGGUGGCGAAGGCGGUUCUCUGGGCAUCACCUGACGCUGAGAAGCGAAAGCGUGGGGAGCAAACAGGCUUAGAUACCCUGGUAGUCCACGCCGUAAACGGUGGGCACUAGGUGUGGGGGACAUUCCACGUUCUCCGUGCCGAAGCUAACGCAUUAAGUGCCCCGCCUGGGGAGUACGG
This 643-nucleotide ribosomal RNA is filed under the name uncultured bacterium. RNAcentral describes it as "bacterial SSU rRNA". It matches the Rfam family "Bacterial small subunit ribosomal RNA", at positions 232 to 885 of the family's 1533-position model. The record is from RNAcentral.